Molecule: ribosomal RNA, 253 nt
Filed under: uncultured bacterium
Lineage: Bacteria
Description: partial 16S ribosomal RNA
Rfam family: Bacterial small subunit ribosomal RNA
Source: RNAcentral
UACGUAGGCAGCAAGCGUUGUUCGGAAUUACUGGGCGUAAAGAGUGUGUAGGCGGUGCUCCAAGUCUGGUGUGAAAUCUCCCGGCUUAACUGGGAGGGUGCAUUAGAAACUGGAAUGCUAGAGGAUGGGAGAGGUAAGCGGAAUUCCUGGUGUAGCAGUGAAAUGCGUAGAUAUCAGGAGGAACACCUGUGGUGUAGACAGCUUACUGGACCAUUUCUGACGCUGAGACACGAAAGCGUGGGUAGCAAACAGG